RNAcentral lists this small RNA (797 nucleotides) under Pan troglodytes (chimpanzee). Its description in RNAcentral is "processed transcript". The record is from RNAcentral. Lineage: Eukaryota; Metazoa; Chordata; Mammalia; Primates; Hominidae.
GCUAAUCGAGGGUGACUGCUGGAAGUGGAGCCACGCUGACUGAUCCCAGAUUGAGAGGCAGCCACAGCCACCCCAAAAGGGGUGGCAGAGCCCUGCCUGUGGACAGGGCCGGAGUCAUCGGCCCGCAUGGCCCAUCUUCCACAGGUCUCCCCCAGCCGAUAGUGAUGGAGGCACUGGACGAGGCUGAAGGGCUCCAGGACUCACAGAGAGAGAUGCCGCCACCCCCUCCUCCCUCGCCGCCCUCAGAUCCAGCUCAGAAGCCACCACCUCGAGGCGCUGGGAGCCACUCCCUCACUGUCAGGAGCAGCCUGUGCCUGUUCGCUGCCUCACAGUUCCUGCUUGCCUGUGGGGUGCUCUGGUUCAGCGGUUAUGGCCACAUCUGGUCACAGAACACCACAAACCUCGUCUCCUCUUUGCUGACGCUCCUGAAACAGCUGGAACCCACGGCCUGGCUUGACUCUGGGACGUGGGGAGUCCCCAGUCUGCUGCUGGUCUUUCUGUCCGUGGGCCUGGUCCUCGUUACCACCCUGGUGUGGCACCUCCUGAGGACACCCCUAGAGCCACCCACCCCACUGCCCCCUGAGGACAGACGCCAGUCAGUGAGCCGCCAGCCCUCCUUCACCUACUCAGAGUGGAUGGAGGAGAAGAUCGAGGAUGACUUCCUGGACCUCGACCCGGUGCCCGAGACUCCUGUGUUUGAUUGUGUGAUGGACAUCAAGCCUGAGGCUGACCCCACCUCGCUCACCGUCAAGUCCAUGGGUCUGCAGGAGAGGAGGGGUUCCAAUGUCUCCCUGACC